RNAcentral lists this ribosomal RNA (514 nucleotides) under Cranchia scabra. RNAcentral describes it as "partial small subunit ribosomal RNA". It matches the Rfam family "Bacterial large subunit ribosomal RNA", at positions 1817 to 2600 of the family's 2925-position model. Lineage: Eukaryota; Metazoa; Mollusca; Cephalopoda; Oegopsida; Cranchiidae. The record is from RNAcentral.
CUCUCUUUGUAAAUAAUAUAUAAAGAGUUGGGCCUGCUCGGUGAACAAAAGUUUUAACAGCUGCGGUAUUUUAACUGUACUAAGGUAGCAUAAUAAUUUGCCUUAUAAAUUGAGGCUAGAAUGAAUGGUUUGACGAAGGUUAAUCUGUCUCCAUCUUACUUAUUAGAAUUUAAUUUUAAAGUGAAAAAGCUUUGAUUUUUUAAAGGGACGAGAAGACCCUAUUGAGCUUAUAAUUUGUUAUUGUUAUGUAAAUUUAUUAAUAUAACUGUAAUAUAAAUUUUAAUUGGGGUGAUUAAGGAAUAAUAAUAUUAGUAACUUCCUUAUAAAAAAUAUUAGUAAAUAAAGUAACCAAUAUUAAAUAUUGCUUUUAUAAUAGUUACCAUAGGGAUAACAGCGUUAUUUAUUUAGAGAGUUCCUAUUGAAAAAUAAGAUUGCGACCUCGAUGUUGGAUUAAAGUAACCACAGGGUGCAGAAGCUCUGUUAGGUAAAUCUGUUCGAUUUUUAAAACUUUACA